Molecule: transfer-messenger RNA, 363 nt
Filed under: Salmonella enterica
Lineage: Bacteria; Pseudomonadati; Pseudomonadota; Gammaproteobacteria; Enterobacterales; Enterobacteriaceae
Rfam family: transfer-messenger RNA
About the family: Bacterial tmRNA, also known as 10Sa RNA or SsrA, is named for its dual tRNA and mRNA-like properties. Its role is to liberate the mRNA from a stalled ribosome.
Source: RNAcentral
GGGGCUGAUUCUGGAUUCGACGGGAUUUGUGAAACCCAAGGUGCAUGCCGAGGGGCGGUUGGCCUCGUAAAAAGCCGCAAAAAAAUAGUCGCAAACGACGAAACCUACGCUUUAGCAGCUUAAUAACCUGCUUAGAGCCCUCUCUCCCUAGCCUCCGCUCUUAGGACGGGGAUCAAGAGAGGUCAAACCCAAAAGAGAUCGCGCGGAUGCCCUGCCUGGGGUUGAAGCGUUAAAACGAAUCAGGCUAGUCUGGUAGUGGCGUGUCCGUCCGCAGGUGCCAGGCGAAUGUAAAGACUGACUAAGCAUGUAGUACCGAGGAUGUAGGAAUUUCGGACGCGGGUUCAACUCCCGCCAGCUCCACCA